CUAAGGGAGCAAGUCGAGCGAAUCAAUGGGAGCUUGCUCCCUGAGAUUAGUGGCGGACGGGUGAGUAACAAAUGGGCAACCUGCCUAUAAGACUGGGAUAACUUCGGGAAACCGGAGCUAAUACCGGAUAAUUCUUUUCUACACAUGUAGAAAAGCUAAAAGACGGUUUACGCUGUCACUUAUAGAUGGGCCCGCGGCGCAUUAGCUAGUUGGUGAGGUAACGGCUCACCAAGGCCACGAUGCGUAGCCGACCUGAGAGGGUGAUCGGCCACACUGGGACUGAGACACGGCCCAGACUC
RNAcentral lists this unclassified non-coding RNA (299 nucleotides) under uncultured bacterium. Its description in RNAcentral is "partial contains 16S ribosomal RNA and 16S-23S ribosomal RNA intergenic spacer region". It matches the Rfam family "Bacterial small subunit ribosomal RNA", at positions 57 to 338 of the family's 1533-position model. The record is from RNAcentral.